AACAACAGGGAUUGCUCAGUAACGGCGAGUGAAGCGGCAAAAGCUCAAAUUUGAAACCCUCGGGAUUGUAAUUUGAAGAUUUGGCAUUGGAGAAAGCUAACCCAAGUUGCUUGGAAUAGUACGUCAUAGAGGGUGACAACCCCGUCUGGCUAACCGUUCUCCAUGUAUUGCCUUAUCAAAGAGUCGAGUUGUUUGGGAAUGCAGCUCAAAGUGGGUGGUAAACUCCAUCUAAAGCUAAAUACUGGUGAGAGACCGAUAGCGAACAAGUACUGUGAAGGAAAGGUGAAAAGAACUUUGAAAAGAGAGUGAAAUAGUAUGUGAAAUUGUUGAUAGGGAAGGAAAUGAGUGGAGAGUGGCCGAGGUUUCAGCCGCCCCUCGUGGGCGGUGUACUGCCGACGCCGAGUCAUCGAUAGCGAGACCGAGGGUUACAAAUGGGAGCGCCUUCGGGCGUUCUCCCCUAACCCUCCACACUGCCACCUGACGACA
RNAcentral lists this ribosomal RNA (486 nucleotides) under Yarrowia lipolytica. RNAcentral's name for it is "LSU rRNA". It matches the Rfam family "Eukaryotic large subunit ribosomal RNA", at positions 64 to 501 of the family's 3401-position model. The record is from RNAcentral. Lineage: Eukaryota; Fungi; Ascomycota; Dipodascomycetes; Dipodascales.